This 994-nucleotide long non-coding RNA is filed under the name Homo sapiens (human). RNAcentral's name for it is "non-protein coding LINC01506:5". Lineage: Eukaryota; Metazoa; Chordata; Mammalia; Primates; Hominidae. The record is from RNAcentral.
GUGUAUUGCACCGGAGACUGAAAGAAGGGUGAGGUUUUGGGGGCUCUGAUGUGCAAGGUAAGGCACUCAGUGUUCAGAACAAUCCUCAUGGAUCUGUCAUGCUCAAAGGAACAGUGUUGAAAGAGUGAUUAUGGUUUAAGAUAAUUUGGCUGUCAACCAAAUAACAUGUUGUUGCUUACUGCUAUGUCAGACACUUCUGCUGAUUGGUGAAUUUUUUUUUUAAUUUAUUUUUAUUUUUUUAUUUUUCGAGAUGGAGUCUCUCUUAGUCGCCCAGGCUAGAGUGCAGUAGUGCGAUCUUGGCUCACUGCAAGCUCCGCCUCCCGGGUUCAAGCCAUUCUCCUGCCUCAGCCUGCUGAGUAGCUGGGACUACAGGUGCCCACCACCACGCCCGGCUAAUGUUUUUUGUAUUUUUAGUAGAGAUGGGGUUUCACCAUGUUAGCCAGGGUGGUCUCUAUCUCCUGACCUCGUGAUCUGCCCAUCUCGGCCUCCCAAAGUGCUGGGAUUACAGGCAUGAGCCACCGCACCCGGCCUGAUGGGUGAAUUUUUAAGAGGAAGAAUAAUAAGCAAAUAGACUAGUUUAAAAGCAAGGUAUCAUUUCCUUGGUGGAUCUCUUGAGAAGGAGAUGGAAACAGUGAUGGGGGACUUUGGCUUGGCCUCCACUGAGUCCCAGAACUUUUCUCUCUAGAGUGUUGCCACCUUUAAAUGGCCCCUUACUCUCAUAAUCAGUGCUGAGUAGUGGCAAGGGGGAGAAAAUGGAAAAGUUGGCAUGGGAGAGAAGGCAGAUCCAGAAGAUAGGAUACAGCUCAGCCCUGAGAAUGUGGCCUGAUUUUCUCUUCUGUUAUUACAACUGCUCUUCUGCUUGAGUUUCUUCUACACCUUCAAGAUGGCUGAAGAACAAGACGCUUUCUCUCCAUGUCUAUGCUGUUUCACUAUGCUGCAAAUAUUCCCAGCCUUUUCCCCUUGAUGCCCAAAAUAAAUUCCUCAAAUACCCUGA